This is a long non-coding RNA of Haemorhous mexicanus (house finch), 7052 nucleotides long. RefSeq lists it as uncharacterized. Lineage: Eukaryota; Metazoa; Chordata; Aves; Passeriformes; Fringillidae. The transcript is spliced from 2 exons. The record is from RefSeq and is a predicted model, not a curated record.
GAUCAGAGGUGGAAUUAAUUUACUUGGAAUUGCAAUGGUUGUUCUUCCCCCUAGUUCCACACACGUUGCCCUGAUUUAUUCCCCAGUAAGGGCAAAAUUCUGCCCUUGGCUGUACCAUAGCUCUAAGAAUACUCAUCUGAGAAUUGCCUCUCUUCUUCCUCUGCUUUCCAUCUGUCAGCCUGAAGUACAACUUGGGUUACUGCAGAUGUCUUCUCUAACACAGAAGUGGUUUAAUUUUAUUUAUUGAGUAUUACAGCUAUAUCAGCAUUUUAAUGUCACCAAAAUCAGUUGAUCCAUGCACUGAAUUACUAACAUCAUUAUGGGAGAAGAAACUCACACCAACACAUUCAGCUGCUGGGUAGUGUGUCAAUGCCUGGAUGAGGAACAGCAUUACCAGGCAAUAACAAGGCUCUGAAAGUCAACUGCCAUAAUCUGAGAUGAUUUUAGAGCAACUUGAAAAUCCUGGAAAUAUCCACAGAAAUGGAAAUUAUCUUUACAAAGCUGGCAGAUUAUUCAGGGCAACAGUCCUAAAAAUACACAAUACAUUGCUUAGAAGGUUUUCCAGAAUGCUUUUUUAAAAACUUGUGAAGCCAUAGCACAUUAGCAUUUACCAGAGAAAUAAUAUAGUGUGCUUUUACAAUCUAAACCCACGUUUUCUGCAAUGGAAACCAGUGUUUUCCUUGCAGUUUCUUCCAGAGUCACUGUCAUGUCAGCAUUGGAGAUCUGUGCUGAGAUCUUUCCCUUCUUGUGAACUGUGCACGGUCUCAGUGGACUGGCUGAUUCUGUCAUUACUAACAUUGUCUCUGCAGCAAUGGAUGAGUGCCAGGUUUCAUAUCUAUGCUUAAAUCUGCUCAGUGGUUUUGCUGAAAAGGAGGUAUCUGCACUUGGUGGGGAAACUGAACUAUUCUUGGCUUCAGGAAUUUAAUUCUUCUUUAACAUUACUGCAGUUUGCAUUAUUUUGUCUUCACUUUUCUAACUUAUUCCUGAAUCUGUCAGCUUCCUUUUCACUACUGAAAAGGGAAUAAAACUGAAGAUGGAACUUAUAUAUUAUGUAUUCAAAGAGAAUUCAAAAAAAUGAAAAUUAGUGCUAAGUUCCUUCUGGAAUUUGACUAGACAACUAACAGGUCUGUUGCUUUUACAAAGUGAUAUUUAUGGGAAUGAUUGGAAAUUCAUCAUUCUGCAAACAAAAAUGGUAACAAGUACCAGAAACAUUGUUCAUUAGAAUGUUUUCAUGCCUACCGAAUGUAUGGAUUAUCUUAAAACUUAAUGCAGAGCAGGUCAGUCAUGAGACAGUUCUUGCACAUAUUCCCAGCUUUAAACAAAUAAUCCACAUAUUCUUCUGUGACAGAUGUCCAAUCUGUACCCUACUUUUAACAUCCUGGCAUGUUUUAACAUCUCUCUUGUGAAGUUUAAACUACUGUUGAACUGAUAUUAUUUGCUGACAAGCUUCUUACAUAUAGGUUACUUGAAAAAAUGUGUUACAACAAGGAUAUACCCUAGAAACUGCUUUGUUCUAUUGCCAGCACUCACUGAUGUGUGAAACUGGGCCCUCAGGCCACAGCAUUCAGACUGGGUGCCUAAAAUCAGGCAAAUAAAUUUCACAAAUGUGAUUUUUAAAAAUACUGUCUAUAGUAAUUUUGAACCAUCCCAUCUUCUGUACUUUGGGGGUCCCUGGCAAAGCUUUGACUCACUUCUUCUUCCUUCCUGCAGCACAGAAACUUCUCCCCAGCCCCAGACUCUCCUCCUGCUCAUCCAGAGAGCUGCACUGCUGCUACUCAUGCAGGAUGGCUGAAGUAAAAAGGAACCCCUGGAAACUGUAGUCCUGCUCAAAGGACGGUCAGCCACAGUGGGUUGGUUGCUCAGGGCUGCUUCCAGGACCUUUUUCCAGUAUCACAAUUCUGCUGAAGUCAACAAGAUUUUUUAACUCCAGGGCACUGGCAAUAAUCUGUUGUGAACAACCACGGGCUGACAUGCACAGCUCCUGCACCAACAAUGUCAUCAUGAAUUCAAUUCCCCAGUCUUCCUCUUCAAGAAGGAAGAUGAAUCAAGCAUUCAGAAUUUAACUCUGAAUCUGCUAAGUGGCAGUUCCACAGAAAUGGAGGGACUUGCCUUGCUCCCAGUGAAUGAAAUUCUGCUGUCAAACUUAUGGUUGUUUGGUUUUUUUAAUCUAUUCACUUGUGGCAAUACAACUAAACAGUGUAUCCCCAAUGGCCAGUGAAAGGACAUUGAGAGUCAGUUAAAGCAACUCUUAGGUUUGUGCUACUUUCUUUCUAGCUACCUGUUCUUCUAGAAUUAGGUGCUCUUUACAGUUUUUGCUUAAAAUACUCUUUAAUAGCAAAAUCUGAUAGCUACAUACCUAAGCGAUGAAAUCCAAAAGUGAACCUCUUUGUUGGAGAUUUUGCAGACAGCCAGAGAGCAAGGAGGGUCAAAAUAAUACCACUAAGGUCAGUUAGCAUGUGAAGUGCAUCUGUCAUAAUUGCUAGACUGUUAGCAACAUAGCCACCUGAAAACAUAAUAGGAAAAGUCAGGACACAUGAAAUUUUUCAUUAUUUUACAUAAUAGCCUCUUGCACAGCUUACAGUUAUUUCUUUUCAGAAUAGUAUAUGAGAGCCCUUCUUAUACCCACUAAACAUCGAUGGCUGUUUGCCUUUACAAGCAAAAUGCCAUGCUAUAAUUUAAAGCUAUCGUUGUUAAAAGUGCAGUCAAGUGUGCUUUCUAUUAAGAGUAACAUAGAAAGGAUUCACUCCUGUUAUUCUAACAGAGACUACUUGCAUCAUAAUGUUUGCAAGAUCAGGUCCAAAACAGUUUUGUAUCUUUUCUCUACACAUUACUGCACAUGUAUUUAAUCAACUGAUUCUUUUGUUAAACUACAUCUGUUAAACACUCUGACAUAACAGAACAGGAACAGAACUCCACAGAUUCAAUGACCAUGAAAUUUACCCUGUCCUCUUUUUAUUUUUAUUACUUUAUCACUUAACGUUAAUUAUUCCCCAUCCUGGCAGAACUGUGUAAGUUCUUGCAAUAACUAUUGCAAACAAUGACUUUCACUUGUACAGCAUUUUUCUUUGUUAUUGAUUACCAUAAUUUUUUCUUGUAAUAUUGAGCUGCAUUGAGACAACCUGAGAUCAAAGGUUAAUAUCUUUGUUCCAAUUCAAUUGCUAGUGCUGCUACUGGAUGAGUGAGAGAUUUAAACAAUGCACCUCUUGCUUAAGUAUCGCUUAUAGAGACGGGAAUCAAGGACAGGCUGUGUUGUCUCCCAUAUGCUUGAAGGUAAGCCCAUUAUCUCAGAAAAGAUCAAAUCUUCAGUGUCAGCUCAGCUAGUAUUUGGUUUCUCUUUUUACCUUGAGAUUGUCAUGCAGCCUGUAAAUUGUUCUGAGCAAAGUGUGCAGCUGGUGUGCCAUUUGGCAGGCUUCAGGCUCCAACUAACAUUUCAAAUAAAGAAAUCUUCAUAUACAAUUAAAAUUGUCUUAGUGAAGAGGCUGACCAGAGGAAAUAGCAAAGGGGAAUUCACAACUGGCUGAUAGCUUUUAAGACUGGUCAUAAAACCUUUGUGUGUGUGUGGCUGUGAGUGCUCUUAUGUACACACCUGCAGACAGAGCUACCCUCUCCUCGCCAGCCAAACACGGAGCACAGCUGUACUGCAGUACUCUUUGUGCUGUGGCCACCUACCAAAUGCACUACAUUUCAAACAGCUCCUUUCCUCCAGCCCCUUUCUUCAAUUGUUCAGAACUUUCUAUGUCAAAUUCUUCUGAGGCUGAAAUUCUCCAGAAGGCCAUCGCAGCUCAAAAACAAUGGCUUUUUAAGAUUUAGCAAUUCAGCAGCUUUUUGAUUAAAAUGAGUUAUGCCUUUCCUUUCUGAAUUAAUUUAUGUUUUCCCAUAAUUUAAAAAAAAUAUUUAGAAAGUGCAACUCAACCUCAUUUAUAGUCAACAGAAAAGAAACAAUAAUUUGUAUGUAAGGACAUUUAGUUCAGCACUUUACAUAUAUCAUUAUUUACAGUAUAUAUGUUGAUUCAUAUGUAUUAUUUUGAGAAUCACUUCAUCCAAGAAGAGUCAAUUCCACUUCAGCUAGCCUCUCACUUCUAAAGAUUUUCAAAAUAAAAGUAUAAGGAAGGAAUUCAGAUACUGAAGCUAAACAUAAUGCAGCAUGUGGAUUAAGCAAACAUAAUUGCCAUUUACGAAAUCUGAAAUCAAAGGUUCUCUGUUUCUAAAGUUAUUGGUUCAUCACGUGGUUAAAGGUACUGCCUAGGGGCUGUUUAGAUACAAUUGGCAACUUGGAAAAAAAGACACCUAUAACCUUUAGAAAUAGCUUGAUGGCUCACCACUGUUUUCAGUGACCCAUGAAAGAUAGCAGUUCUCCUCAUGGAUGAUCAAUUAGAAAUCUCUAAACAUAGAUGAAAACAUCAAAACACUGUGAGAAAAGCUAAUUAGGACUUGCAAUAUGUUUUUCAUUUCUUGAUGCACAAUGGUUUCCCCAAAGUGUAAAUUGUUAUAUAACUGGUCAUCAAAUGAAGCAACAAACACUGAGAUAGGCUGAAGUAAUGAGUUUGGAAAAAAUAUGCCAAUCAAGAUCUUACAAAAAAAGCUGCUGAAACAAGAUUUGCUUCAUCUUGACACUGGUAACAGACACCAGAAAGAUUUUACUGAAAAAAUUAGUUGUCUGAUAGAAUCUUCUGCCUCUCUUUUAGAAACUCAAAUCUGUCAAAGAUCACAGAAGGAAGUCAGUUAAAAUAUCCUACACAAUCAGAUCUUCCCAAAUACCUGAGCUUCAGAUCAAUUCAUAAAGUUUGGAAAUUUGAAACCAGCCAAAGACAACACAGUACAGGGCUGUAGUGAAAUAAAUUAAACAGGUGGGACACUGACCCAGGACUUGGGGGCUGUAUCUCUAAUUACUCUUCUGCUGAUUAUUACUUGCCCUGUGACAAGUCAUUCAGGUCAAGAUCCACAGAAUUACAGAGAUAUCCAAAGCCUCUAUGCUCUGUGGAAGAUGGAUGCCUGAAUAUUUCAUGGGUCUGAUUCUGUGUCCAAAGAACGAAAUAUGGCUGGAAACAGCACACCCAGAGCUGAGGAGGAUGAGUCCAUAGUACAGCACUGACACUCUGUACGGACAAAUCCAGCCUGCUCAAGCCCUGACUGUGCGGGAAGAACAAAGAUGAUGUGACAGUGAUCAGAGUAUUUUUACUCUCAACAUCUAUUAUUUCUAGAGCUCUCCCUGCACUAGCUAUGGACAGGUCUCCAACAGCAUGAAUUGGAUCCACAGCCCCAAACAAAAAUGCUCCCAGUGACUUGAGCAUCAACCUGCCAGCAGCUCAGACAUUAUUCAGUAAGAGGCCCUUCAGAUGAACUAAAUUCAGUGUACAUCAGAGCUCUGAUACAAUCAACUAACAUCACUCUCCUGUUAAAGGAUGUCUAAGCCUAAAAUACAAGACUAUUGCUUAUCAAAUUUACCUGAGUUCAUGCUGAACCAAAAUCUCAGCCAGAGAAAAAACAUUGGAGCCAGGGGGCAUAUGGAGGCAUUCAGCCAAAUCCCCAGAGGUUUGACACAUAGUGCCUUAGCCAUAAUCUGAUGUAUUGUGGCCUGUUAUUAAUGACCAGCCACACACUGAGACAUGCUGAAAGGCAAAACCACUUUUUUCCAUUAACCCACAUUCCUGAAAUAAGGCCCCAAAUAAAAAUGGUGCAGACACAGUCAAUAUUCUGGUCUCUCUCUGAAAAAAUGGAACAUUUCUUUUAGGGGUUUCCCCCCCCCCACAUCUGUGGGACAAACUGCAAUAGUUAUCCUCUAGCAAUUAUUUUGUUCCCUAUCCAUCUUGCACAAGUUUGUCUUAAGAACACAGUUCACAGUAGUCCUAGCAAAAGCAUCCAAGAGCAUGAGCUCACUUCACACAAGUAUUCAAUUGACUCAAUUUGCAGAAGUCAGGAGGAGGAUGUAGAUCCCAUGCUGCUGAUCUUCACUUCCAGAAAGUUAUUAUGAUUUGAUUUUUUGUGUGUGUUUGAAUUAUGGCAAGUAAUUAAUCUGAUUAGCUCUGAUUCAGACUUGAAUGUUGAAAUUUAAGAAAUUUAAAAGCAAUUAAUUGCUAUGGAGAGACCUGGCUCAACAUACAUAUCAAGGUACUGGCACUGUGCAGUGCUCCCCACAACUCACAAUCGGGACAGUGGGUGAGAACAUUAAAGCAUUUUUCAGGAGGCUGAGUCACACCCAAGAGACACUUGCACUGCAUGGCAUGGCUGUAUCCAAAAUACAGAUAGCAACAGGACACAGUAAGUGAACAGAGAUUAACAGAUAAAUACUGAACUUUGUAAAAAUGAUAAGACAAUGGCAAAGGCAUAACAUUUAACAGCUAAUCUAUGCCUCUCAAGGACACUCACAUUUUAUUUCAAGUCUAUGCUGCUAAAGCCUAUUUGAUAAAGCACAGUUGUAUAAUGUCAGUGUGUCAUGCACAGGUUCUCCUCAUCCUGCACAGCACAGCUGUUGGGAGGGAGCAAUAAAAGCUGAACUUGAGCUAUAGGGUCACUCUUCUGAACAACAAUCAGGUGCUUAUAUGGGAACUCAUUUUCAGGUAAAACCCAACUAUACUUCUACAAGCACUAACAAAAACCACAAAUAAUUUAAUGGAACUACUUGGUAUUCUUAUAUGUUGUAGCAGGAAGUAUUAAAAUAACUGUCACUUUAAAUGACUGUGCUCAUAUGAUUUAUGUCUGGAUGGAGCACAUGCUAGUCCAGAGCACAGUAGGACAUGAAGAAUCUCAAGGGAGUGAUGUCUCCAUUGAAAUGCCGUUGAUAGCUCAGGACUUGUCUCUUUAGUUCUAAGUAGCAGUGUGUAUUGCUGUAUCUGGUGAAUAAAGACAAAUACCCCGAGUAUUAAUUUCAUUAUUAUGGUAAAUGUCACAUUUAAAACUAUAUUUUCCUCUUCUUCUCUUGCUGCAUGCACAGCAAGAUUUUAUGGCCGUUGAUUAAAAAAUAUUGCGAUUGAAAUUGCUCAUGCCACUUCUCCUUUGUUAAAAACAACUUAAAAACUUGCAAGAAGAAAUAAAAAUCCAUUAGACAAGGAAAA